AUAGGGGAGCCGAAGGGAAACCGAGUCUUAACUGGGCGUUAAGUUGCAGGGUAUAGACCCGAAACCCGGUGAUCUAGCCAUGGGCAGGUUGAAGGUUGGGUAACACUAACUGGAGGACCGAACCGACUAAUGUUGAAAAAUUAGCGGAUGACCUGUGGCUGGGGGUGAAAGGCCAAUCAAACCGGGAGAUAGCUGGUUCUCCCCGAAAGCUAUUUAGGUAGCGCCUCGUGAAUUCAUCUCCGGGGGUAGAGCACUGUUUCGGCUAGGGGGCCAUCCCGGCUUACCAACCCGAUGCAAACUGCGAAUACCGGAGAAUGUUAUCACGGGAGACACACGGCGGGUGCUAACGUCCGUCGUGAAGAGGGAAACAACCCAGACCGCCAGCUAAGGUCCCAAAGUCAUGGUUAAGUGGGAAACGAUGUGGGAAGGCCCAGACAGCCAGGAUGUUGGCUUAGAAGCAGCCAUCAUUUAAAGAAAGCGUAAUAGCUCACUGGUCGAGUCGGCCUGCGCGGAAGAUGUAACGGGGCUAAACCAUGCACCGAAGCUGCGGCAGCGACACUAUGUGUUGUUGGGUAGGGGAGCGUUCUGUAAGCCGUUGAAGGUGGCCUGUGAGGGUUGCUGGAGGUAUCAGAAGUGCGAAUGCUGACAUAAGUAACGAUAAAGCGGGUGAAAAGCCCGCUCGCCGGAAGACCAAGGGUUCCUGUCCAACGUUAAUCGGGGCAGGGUGAGUCGACCCCUAAGGCGAGGCCGAAAGGCGUAGUCGAUGGGAAACAGGUUAAUAUUCCUGUACUUGGUGUUACUGCGAAGGGGGGACGGAGAAGGCUAUGUCGGCCGGGCGACGGUUGUCCCGGUUUAAGCGUGUAGGUGUGUGCUCCAGGCAAAUCCGGUGCACUUUAACACUGAGGCGUGAUGACGAGGCACUACGGUGCUGAAGUGACAAAUGCCCUGCUUCCAGGAAAAGCCUCUAAGCAUCAGGUAACACGAAAUCGUACCCCAAACCGACACAGGUGGUCAGGUAGAGAAUACCAAGGCGCUUGAGAGAACUCGGGUGAAGGAACUAGGCAAAAUGGUGCCGUAACUUCGGGAGAAGGCACGCUGAUAUGUAGGUGAAGUGACUUGCUCAUGGAGCUGAAAUCAGUCGAAGAUACCAGCUGGCUGCAACUGUUUAUUAAAAACACAGCACUGUGCAAACACGAAAGUGGACGUAUACGGUGUGACGCCUGCCCGGUGCCGGAAGGUUAAUUGAUGGGGUUAUCCCUCGGGAGAAGCUCUUGAUCGAAGCCCCGGUAAACGGCGGCCGUAACUAUAACGGUCCUAAGGUAGCGAAAUUCCUUGUCGGGUAAGUUCCGACCUGCACGAAUGGCGUAAUGAUGGCCAGGCUGUCUCCA
RNAcentral lists this ribosomal RNA (1388 nucleotides) under Citrobacter koseri. RNAcentral describes it as "partial 23S ribosomal RNA". It matches the Rfam family "Bacterial large subunit ribosomal RNA", at positions 657 to 2024 of the family's 2925-position model. The record is from RNAcentral. Lineage: Bacteria; Pseudomonadati; Pseudomonadota; Gammaproteobacteria; Enterobacterales; Enterobacteriaceae.